This 458-nucleotide ribosomal RNA is filed under the name uncultured bacterium. RNAcentral describes it as "partial 16S ribosomal RNA". It matches the Rfam family "Bacterial small subunit ribosomal RNA", at positions 338 to 795 of the family's 1533-position model. The record is from RNAcentral.
CCUACGGGAGGCAGCAGUGAGGAAUAUUGGUCAAUGGGCGAGAGCCUGAACCAGCCAAGUCGCGUGAGGGAGUACUGCCCUAUGGGUUGUAAACCUCUUUUGUCGGGGAGCAAAAGCCGGACGUGUCCGGCUGUGAGAGUACCCGAAGAAAAAGCAUCGGCUAACUCCGUGCCAGCAGCCGCGGUAAUACGGAGGAUGCGAGCGUUAUCCGGAUUUAUUGGGGUUAAAUGGUGCGCAGGCGGAUUUUUAAGUCAGCGGUCAAAUCGUGGGGCUCAACCCCAUCCAGCCGUUGAAACUGGGGAUCUAGAGUGUGCGAGAGGUAUGCGGAAUGCGUGGUGUAGCGGUGAAAUGCAUAGAUAUCACGCAGAACCCCGAUUGCGAAGGCAGCAUACCGGUGCACAACUGACGCUCAGGCACGAAAGCGUGGGUAUCGAACAGGAUUAGAUACCCCAGUAGUC